UCUUCUUGGAAGAUGGGCUUUUUGCAGACAAAUCCACACAUGCACACAAAAUUUAUCUUCUCUCUCUCUCUUGAAAGUUGAAAGAAACCCCAUUUUGUUACGCCAUCAGAGGCUUCCUACUGGAAUUUUGAACUGUUCAUAAUCUAUCUUCUUUUUGAUGUUCUGUCUUGAGCCCUGAUCUUGUGCCCAAGAAAAAAGUUUAGUAUUUUUUUCCUGGGAAAACCCCCACUGCACGUUAUCUCACGGCCAAAAUGUCUCAACCUUUUCUUGCUUCUUGGUCGGGUUUUCUUGAGAUGGGUUUCUCGGAAUUCGUUUCUUCUUGACGCGGUCCUCCUUUCGGUGAGAGAAAUAAUUGUCGCUGAUUACACGUAGCGUUUUGGUUGAUUUGCUACUAGGUUUUGGUCCUUGUUACCGGAAUUCCUUUUCUCAAGGAUGGGUUUUGCCCAAUAUUACUGCGUCAAGACCCACAGUUUCAAAUGUCUGGGGUACCCAUUUCACCAUUUCCACCAAGAAUUACGCAUCUGUAACCCUUUGGUACCAAUCAUUCUCUGUUUCUUUUAGUAUUUUUCUCAAGCACCUUGGCUGCACUUGAAUUUCUUGGUUUUGGUCCUUAAAGCUUGCCUCUUUAGCCAUGGGCUGUGUCAACAGUAGGUGCUGUAGCCGGUACCCACUGUCAUCGGACGGCGAUUCCCGACAGUACCGCGAAGUGGGUCCGUACAGUCUGCAAGGCAAACACAUACUCACCCAGAGAUCCCUGGAGUCUGUACCUGUUCCUUCACACAAUUUCCAUUUGGAGUACUCGGUUCUCACGCAGCGUGGUUACUACCCGGACUCGCCGGAUAAGGAAAACCAAGACAGUUUCUGCAUUAGGACGCAGAUUCAAGGUAACCCAAAUAUCCAUUUCUUUGGUGUAUUUGAUGGGCAUGGUCAAUUUGGCACACAGUGUUCGAAUUUCGUCAAGGAUAGGUUGGUAGAUAUACUAGCUAAUGACACUGCACUGUUGGAUGACCCUGUUAAAGCUUUUAACUCUGCGUUUUCGGCGACAAAUUAUGAGUUACGUAAUAGUGAGAUUGAUGAUUCAAUGAGUGGUACUACGGCCAUUACAGUACUCGUUGUUGGGGAUACCCUUUUCGUAGCAAAUGUGGGUGAUUCCAGGGCAGUGAUUGCAGUGAAGGAUGGGAAUCAAAUUGUUGCUGAGGACUUAUCGUAUGAUCAGACGCCAUUUAGGAGAGAUGAGUGUGAGAGAGUGAAGCUUUGUGGGGCGAGGGUUUUGAGUGUUGAUCAAGUAGAAGGGCUUAAGGAUCCGAAUAUUCAGACGUGGGGCAACGAAGAGUCUCAAGGCGGCGAUCCUCCGAGGUUGUGGGUUCAGAAUGGGAUGUAUCCAGGGACUGCGUUUACGAGGAGCGUGGGAGAUAGUACAGCUGAGAAGAUUGGUGUAAUUGCUGUACCGGAGGUGUCGAUGGUUCAGCUUACAGCUAAUCAUCUUUUCUUUGUUGUUGCAAGCGAUGGGGUCUUCGAAUUCCUCUCAAGCCAAGCAGUUGUUAAUAUGGUGGCAAGUAAUUCAGAUCCCCGGGAUGCGUGUGGUUCUAUUGCUGGAGAAUCAUAUAAAAUAUGGUUGGAACACGAAAACCGGACAGAUGAUAUUACAAUCAUUAUUGUCCACAUCAAAGGUUUUUCUAAUUCAGGUGGUGGUACUACAGAUGGACCAAGUGGAACCAAUGUUAGGCGAAUGAUAUCCAGAAGAGGAACUUCUGAGGUAUCCGUUACCCCUGGAUCAGAACUUUACCUUUCAGCCAAGAGCGACUUCUCAGACCUACAUUCUUGUCAGCAUGUGGUUUCAAUAAAUCGAAGCCCAUUGGAAUUGUGAUAAGACUCACAGGCCUUCAGGAAGCUGCCUAACGUCUCCCUGUAUUUUUCUCUAGAGGAUAUAUAGGUUUAGGUGUGCAUUCUACGGGGAGCAGAAGCAAUCUGUUCUGCAUAUACAGGAUAUACUCUACUUGCUCACUAAUCUCCAGGAUGUUCGUUCAGGAGAACAAAAUGCUCUCCCUCCGGUUGUUGUUUCACCUGCUAACCCUAAAUUAUGAAGCAAAUGUUAAUAAAAUUUGAAUAGAUUCAAGUAGGUUCAGUCAGGAGGUUGGGAUGUGAUGAUGGGAAAGUGCAAGGGAAGAAGAAGAUAUAUUAUGGGGUGAUUAGCUGAUGAACUCCAUUGACAUCCUUUGUAUCUUCAGUGUUUACUCGAAUGGAAAAUGUAACAUUGUUAAUUGCAUUCUCUUUAUGUAUAAAAUUUCAGUAUUUACACGUUUUC
RNA transcript from Corylus avellana, 2305 nucleotides. It is a transcript of the gene named putative protein phosphatase 2C 35, with no coding region annotated. NCBI's taxonomy places the organism in Eukaryota, Viridiplantae, Streptophyta, Magnoliopsida, Fagales, Betulaceae. The record is from RefSeq and is a predicted model, not a curated record.